AAGUCGAACGAGGGUCCUUCGGGACUCGAGUGGCGAACGGGUGAGUACCCGUAGGGAACCUGCCCGUGCGACCGGGAGAACUUUCGGAAACGUAAGCUGAUACCGGAUAGGGACAGAGACGGCAUCGACUCUGUGUUAAAGGAGCUGAAAGGCUCCGCGCACGGAUGGACCUGCGGUGCAUUAGCUGGUUGGUGAGGUAACGGCCCACCAAGGCGACGAUGCAUAGCCGGCCUGAGAGGGCGGACGGCCACACUGGGACUGAGACACGGCCCAGACUCCUACGGGAGGCAGCAGUAGGGAAUUUUCGUCAAUGGGCGCAAGCCUGAACGAGCAAUGCCGCGUGAACGAGGAAGGUCUUCGGAUCGUAAAGUUCUGUUGAAGGGGGAAAAGAGCGGAGAGAGGAAAUGGUCUCCGAUUGAUAUUACCCUUCGAGGAAGUCACGGCUAACUACGUGCCAGCAGCCGCGGUAAUACGUAGGUGGCGAGCGUUAUCCGGAAUGAUUGGGCGUAAAGGGUGCGUAGGCGGCCUGCUAAGUCUGGAGUGAAAGGUACCGGCUCAACCGGUACAGGCUCUGGAAACUGGCGGGCUAGAGAGCAGGAGAGGGCGGUGGAACUCCAUGUGUAGCGGUAAAAUGCGUAGAUAUAUGGAAGAACACCAGUGGCGAAGGCGGCCGCCUGGCCUGUUACUGACGCUGAGGCACGAAAGCGUGGGGAGCAAAUAGGAUUAGAUACCCUAGUAGUCCACGCCGUANACGAUGAGGACCAAGUGUUGGGGAAGACCCAGUGCUGCAGUNAACGCAGUGAGUCCUCCGCCUGGGGAGUAUGCACGCAAGUGUGAAACUCAAAGGAAUUGACGGGGGCCCGCACA
RNAcentral lists this ribosomal RNA (867 nucleotides) under uncultured bacterium. RNAcentral describes it as "bacterial SSU rRNA". It matches the Rfam family "Bacterial small subunit ribosomal RNA", at positions 59 to 927 of the family's 1533-position model. The record is from RNAcentral.